RNAcentral lists this ribosomal RNA (433 nucleotides) under Bifidobacterium dentium. RNAcentral describes it as "bacterial SSU rRNA". It matches the Rfam family "Bacterial small subunit ribosomal RNA", at positions 28 to 459 of the family's 1533-position model. Lineage: Bacteria; Bacillati; Actinomycetota; Actinomycetes; Bifidobacteriales; Bifidobacteriaceae. The record is from RNAcentral.
GAUGAACGCUGGCGGCGUGCUUAACACAUGCAAGUCGAACGGGAUCCCGGGGGUUCGCUUCCGGGUGAGAGUGGCGAACGGGUGAGUAAUGCGUGACCGACCUGCCCCAUACACCGGAAUAGCUCCUGGAAACGGGUGGUAAUGCCGGAUGCUCCGGUUGGAUGCAUGUCCUUCCGGGAAAGAUUCUAUCGGUAUGGGAUGGGGUCGCGUCCUAUCAGCUUGAUGGCGGGGUAACGGCCCACCAUGGCUUCGACGGGUAGCCGGCCUGAGAGGGCGACCGGCCACAUUGGGACUGAGAUACGGCCCAGACUCCUACGGGAGGCAGCAGUGGGGAAUAUUGCACAAUGGGCGCAAGCCUGAUGCAGCGACGCCGCGUGCGGGAUGGAGGCCUUCGGGUUGUAAACCGCUUUUGAUCGGGAGCAAGCCCUUCGGG